UUUCUGUAUUGUGUGUAUGUGUGUAGUUAACAGUGUUAACACCUGUGUUUCAGGUGUAUCAGUAUGAAGCAGGCGGUGACGGCGCACUGAUUCACUCUCGGAGCUCGGUUCACUAAUGACCGAAUCACCGAGGAACCGACCAAAGAUAACUCACACCCGCACGGAGAAGAAGAACAAGAGGAGGAGAAGAUGAGCUGGAGUGGGGCAAAGAGAACUGCAUUCAGAUCAAACGGAUACAAGAGGUGUGUAAUCUCCCUCCAUUUGCAUUCCUCUACUAUAAACAGCUCCAGUCUCUCUUCAGACACUGUGGUUAAAUCAAAUCCAUCUCCUUUGACAGCUCCAG
Long non-coding RNA from Ictalurus punctatus (channel catfish), 343 nucleotides. Lineage: Eukaryota; Metazoa; Chordata; Actinopteri; Siluriformes; Ictaluridae. The record is from Ensembl.